UACGAAGGGGGCUAGCGUUGCUCGGAAUCACUGGGCGUAAAGCGCACGUAGGCGGAUCUUUAAGUCAGGGGUGAAAUCCCGAGGCUCAACCUCGGAACUGCCCUUGAUACUGGGGAUCUCGAGUCCGGAAGAGGUUGGUGGAACUCCGAGUGUAGAGGUGAAAUUCGUAGAUAUUCGCAAGAACACCAGUGGCGAAGGCGGCCAACUGGUCCGGUACUGACGCUGAGGUGCGAAAGCGUGGGGAGCAAACAGG
Molecule: ribosomal RNA, 253 nt
Filed under: uncultured bacterium
Lineage: Bacteria
Description: partial 16S ribosomal RNA
Rfam family: Bacterial small subunit ribosomal RNA
Source: RNAcentral